AAACGAUUUUGGGUAUCUUUAC
Molecule: non-coding RNA, 22 nt
Filed under: Arabidopsis thaliana (thale cress)
Lineage: Eukaryota; Viridiplantae; Streptophyta; Magnoliopsida; Brassicales; Brassicaceae
Source: RNAcentral